GCGGACGUGGCGAAACUGGUAGACGCAACGGUCUUAAACACCGUCGCCCAACGGCUUACGGGUUCGAGUCCCGUCGUCCGCACCA
This 85-nucleotide transfer RNA is filed under the name Rhodospirillales bacterium. RNAcentral's name for it is "tRNA-Leu". It matches the Rfam family "tRNA". From Rfam's summary of the family: Transfer RNA (tRNA) molecules are approximately 80 nucleotides in length. The record is from RNAcentral. Lineage: Bacteria; Pseudomonadati; Pseudomonadota; Alphaproteobacteria; Rhodospirillales.